AGAUUGAACGCUGGCGGCAUGCUUUACACAUGCAAGUCGAACGGUAACAGGCCGCAAGGUGCUGACGAGUGGCGAACGGGUGAGUAAUGCAUCGGAACGUGCCCAGUCGUGGGGGGAUAACGCAGCGAAAGCUGUGCUAAUACCGCAUACGAUCUAUGGAUGAAAGCGGGGGACCGAAAGGCCUCGCGCGAUUGGAGCGGCCGAUGUCAGAUUAGCUAGUUGGUGGGGUAAAGGCCCACCAAGGCGACGAUCUGUAGCUGGUCUGAGAGGACGACCAGCCACACUGGAACUGAGACACGGUCCAGACUCCUACGGGAGGCAGCGAGUGGGGAAUUUUUGGACAAGUGGGCG
This 351-nucleotide ribosomal RNA is filed under the name uncultured soil bacterium. Its description in RNAcentral is "bacterial SSU rRNA". It matches the Rfam family "Bacterial small subunit ribosomal RNA", at positions 26 to 377 of the family's 1533-position model. The record is from RNAcentral.